CCCUUAGAUGUUCUGGGCCGCACGCGCGCUACACUGAUGCAUUCAACGAGUCUAAAACCUGCUCUGAUAGGGGUGGGUAAUCUUUUGAAUGUGCAUCGUGAUUGGGAUAGAUGAUUGCAAUUUUUCAUCUUCAACGAGGAAUGCCUAGUAAACGCAAGUCAUCAGCUUGCAUUGAUUACGUCCCUGCCCUUUGCACACACCGCCCGUCGCUCCUACCGAUUGAAUGAUCCGAUGAAUAUCAUGGAUUGAGGAUGCAAGUAGGUUCGCCUAUCUUCAUCUUCGAGAAGUGAAGUAAAUCUUAUCAUUUAGAGGAAGGAGAAGUCGUAACA
RNAcentral lists this ribosomal RNA (329 nucleotides) under uncultured eukaryote. RNAcentral's name for it is "partial 18S ribosomal RNA". It matches the Rfam family "Eukaryotic small subunit ribosomal RNA", at positions 1470 to 1796 of the family's 1831-position model. The record is from RNAcentral.